This 580-nucleotide small RNA is filed under the name Pongo abelii (Sumatran orangutan). RNAcentral describes it as "processed transcript". The record is from RNAcentral. Lineage: Eukaryota; Metazoa; Chordata; Mammalia; Primates; Hominidae.
AUUACAACAAAAACUGGCGGCGAGGAACCGCGGAGAACUGUUGCCCUUCACCGCUUCAUUUUGUGCAGCCUGAAAGGGGCAGUCACAUAAGUCCGGACAGUUGAGAAGGCCACCCCGCUUCGUGCCUGCCGCCCAGUUCCUCUUAGGUCGUGGACUGGUGUGGAUCGCUGCUGCCUGUACUGUAAUUUUGGAAAUGCAGGAGAAAGUACGGAGCUUUUAGCUUUAGCUGACAUUUUGUGUUUAUUCUGCAAGUGGUCAUUUGGGACGGGGAAGUUCGGGUUCUUGCUUCAUUUAUUUAUUCAAUUAACUUUAUUAAGCCCCUGGAACAUGCUGAACCCUCUUUUGGGUACUGCAGAAUUGUGGUGGGCUUUACUUCAAGGCGCGCUGGCCUGUAUUAAGAAUUAAGAUAGAGGAGGCCGGGUGCAGUGGCUCGCCCCUGUAAUCUCAGCACUUUGGGAGGCCGAGGCAAGCGGAUCACCUGAGGUCAGGAGUUCAAGACCAGCCUGGCCAACAUAGUGAAAUCCCCAUCUCUACUAAAAAUACAAAAAUUAGCUGGGUGUGAUGGCAGGCGCCUGUAGUC